This 1722-nucleotide ribosomal RNA is filed under the name Triticum aestivum (bread wheat). Its description in RNAcentral is "partial small subunit ribosomal RNA". Lineage: Eukaryota; Viridiplantae; Streptophyta; Magnoliopsida; Poales; Poaceae. The record is from RNAcentral.
AUGGAAGCAGCAGAUGAGGAGAAGCCCCUGCUUAAUCGACAACCCAAUCCUCAGGAUGUAGGUUCAGAAUAUACCAGCGAUGGAUCAGUCGAUAUCAACAAACAGCCUGCUCUGAAGGGAAGUACAGGCCGUUGGAGGGCAUGCUACAUGAUUUUAGGUGUUGAGUUCUGUGAAUGCGUGGCCUUCUUCGCGAUCUCAAGGAACUUGGUAACCUAUCUUACCACCGUGCUCCAUGAAAGCAAAGUCGCCGCCGCGAGAAAUGUCUCUGCCUGGGUCGGCGCCAGCUUCCUCACGCCGCUCAUCGGAGCCUUCUUGGCCGACACAUACCUGGGAAGAUACUGGACAAUGGUUGCUUCCCUCCCGAUCUACAUCCUUGGAAUGCUGGUCCUCACAGUGUCAGCAUCAGCCCCAACAUCUUCCUACAGCGGCGGCGAGGUUCAUCGCACCAUGGUCUACGCAGGGCUCUACCUCUCCGCGCUCGGUGGCGGCGGCACCAAGCCCUGCACGUCGACCUUCGGGGCCGACCAGUUCGACAGCGCCGACCCGGCGGAGCUGGCGAAGAAGGGCUCCUUCUUCAACUGGUACUACUUCAUGAUCAACCUCAGCUCCCUCCUGUCGAGCACGGUGCUUGUUUGGCUGCAGGACAAUGUCGGGUGGGGGGUCAGCUUCGCGAUCCCGACGGCGCUCUUGGCCUUAGCCCUCGCAGUGUUUGUUGGUGGCUCGACGGUGUACAGGUUUAGAGAACCCACAGUGAGCCCGUUCACCAGCCUCUGCCAGGUGGUCGUCGCGGCCCUCAGCAAGUGGCGUAUGCAGUUGCCCGAGGACGUCUCCCUUUUCUACGAGCUGUCUGAAUCAGGCCACACAAUUCAGCAUACGAGUCAAUUCAGAUUCCUCGACAAGGCUGCCAUUAUGCUGCCCCCCUCAGACAAGGCAUGCGUGGCGCCGCCGACGAGUUCGUGGAAGCUCUGCACGGUGACACAGGUCGAAGAGCUGAAGAUACUGCUGCGGAUGUUCCCCGUCUGGGCAUCUUUCGUGAUCUUCCACGCCGUCACCGGUCAACUAUCGUCGACGUUCAUCGAGCAGGGGAUGGUCAUGGACAACAGUGUCGCCGGAUUCGCCAUCCCACCGGCCUCCCUCUCCAUCUUCGGCGUCUUCAGCGUGCUCAUCUGGGUGCCCGUCUACGAGACCGUGCUGGUGCCGCUCGCCCGGCGCUGCACCGGCAACCACAAGGGCUUCUCACAGACGCAGCGGCUCGGCAUCGGCUUCGCGCUGUCCGCGCUGACCAUGGUCUACUCGGCGAUGCUCGAGACGAAGAGGCUGGCGGUCGCGCGAGCCAGCGGCCUGGCCGGACAGAACGUGCCGGUGCCGAUGAGCAUCCUGUGGCAGGCGCCGUCGCACGUCCUGCACGGCGCGGCGGGGGUCUUCGCGGGCAUCGGCAUGACGGAGUUCUUCUACGACCAGGCCCCGUACGCCAUGAAGAGCCUCUGUGCGGCGCUCGCGCAGCUCUCGAUCGCGUCCGGGUUUUACUUCAACACGGUUGUGCUUGGUGUCGUCGCGGUGGUCACCACGCGUGGCGGGGCGCCUGGGUGGAUCCCGGACAACCUGAACGAAGGGCAUCUGGACUAUUUCUUCUGGAUGAUGGCUGCUCUGAGCUUACUCAACCUUGCGCAGUUUGUGCACUACUCCGUGCGGUGUAGAGAGAAGACAACUUCUUCACCCUGA